UACGUAGGGUGCAAGCGUUGUCCGGAAUUAUUGGGCGUAAAGAGCUCGUAGGCGGUUUGUCGCGUCGAAUGUGAAAACCCGGGGCUCAACCCCGGGCCUGCAUUCGAUACGGGCAGACUAGAGUUCGGGAGAGGGAUGCGGAAUUCCAGGUGUAGCGGUGAAAUGCGUAGAUAUCUGGAGGAACACCGGUGGCGAAGGCGGUUCUCUGGGCAUGUCCUGACGCUGAGGAGCGAAAGUGUGGGGAGCGAACAGG
This 253-nucleotide ribosomal RNA is filed under the name uncultured bacterium. RNAcentral describes it as "partial 16S ribosomal RNA". It matches the Rfam family "Bacterial small subunit ribosomal RNA", at positions 524 to 776 of the family's 1533-position model. The record is from RNAcentral.